GACAGCAGUAGCCGCGGGAAUACGAAGGGGGCUAGCGUUGCUCGGAAUGACUGGGCGUAAAGGGCGCGUAGGCGGCGAUCAAAGUCAGGCGUGAAAUUCCUGGGCUCAACCUGGGGGCUGCGCUUGAUACUUGGUUGCUUGAGUGGGGAAGAGGGUCGUGGAACUCCCAGUGUAGAGGUGAAAUUCGUAGAUAUUGGGAAGAACACCGGUGGCGAAGGCGGCGACCUGGUCCUUGACUGACGCUGAGGCGCGAAAGCGUGGGGAGCAAACAGGAUUAGAUACCCCUGUAGUCCCUGUCUCUUAUAC
This 306-nucleotide ribosomal RNA is filed under the name uncultured bacterium. RNAcentral's name for it is "partial 16S ribosomal RNA". It matches the Rfam family "Bacterial small subunit ribosomal RNA", at positions 507 to 807 of the family's 1533-position model. The record is from RNAcentral.